AUAUUUGACUAACCCUUUAUGGUUCAAUAUGGAGUCUGUUUAACUGUGUUGAUAUUUGACUAACCCUUUAUGGUUUAAUAUGGAGUCUGUUUAACUGUGUUGAUAUUUGACUAACCCUUUAUGGUUUAAUAUGGAGUCUGUUUAACUGCGUAUGACAGCGUCUAUGGCCUUGCCGUCCGGGGAUCCAGGAAGCCUUUAUCUGAGCUGCAUGUGAGGAAAAGGUUUUGUUGUGCUGACUUUAACUCAUGGCUGUAAAUAUUUCAGUCGUGUCCCCCCCCUACCCCUCCACCACGACGCGCUGCUUGGGAGAGCAUCCUCUGCUGUUCUUAAUAUUUAAUUCCUGCUCUUAACCGGCAAGAUGUGGUGCUUUAUAUAAGACCUCGGCAGACCCUAGUGAGACGUCUGCUACUCUUCAGUCGCUCCACUCAACUUGAUGUUCUCUCAGGGAGUUAGAGAACUGGUUGUCCAGUAAAGUCCAGCCCGAUCCCACCCCGGCCCGUGCGGGCAGUAGACCCCCUCUGUGUCCAAUCAGUAACAGUAAGGAGGAAGGUUUCACCUCACCAGACUCUCUGUCUCGGUGCCAGCGGAUCACCACAUGUUCCCAUUGCACGCUUCUUCAAUUUAGAAUUAACUUUGUGUCAUGGCAACAAAUGCUAAUUAUGUAAAUUAUGCAUAACCUUACAACCUUUUGUCAUAUCCUGGGUUCAAUCAUAAACUCGCAAUGCUUAAGGCUCUAUGUUAUGAUUAAAAGGCUUGACUACUGUAGUUGAGGAAGUAGACCUUAUAUGAAUAGUUACAUAAGACUAGGGUGCCUUUUGUACUAAACUGGGCUCCAUUUUCAUUGUUCUAAAUUCCCCUUAUUCGUCUCCCCUGCCAGUUUCAAUGAGGAUAAGGGUUCUUAUGUGGUGUGGUUUGCUAGGUGUUAAAUAUAGUUGACCCCUCCCGCGGUCUCCCUCCUCGGCAGCUGGCCCUGACCUGCGCGUCAUGGAGGUCUCUGACUAAGCCUUGGGCGACCUUUGUGGUCGAGGCCGGUUGCUCUGGUUCAGGCGCCCUCACAGCCUGCUGUCAUUAACCGGCAUUUCCGCUCAGAGCUGCUGGUGGAACCACGCGGGUCACGUGACGAGCGGAGCAACUUUCCUUCUUUAAAGCAGGGACAGGACGUGAGCACAGCCUGCUCCGUCCUCUGGGUCCUCACGGGGGUUGGUGAGGCUUUCUGAGCCCGGUGUGGAUAAUAAAGACGCUCUAGACGCUCUGUUAGGAUAUAAAGAGGGGAGGUGUGUGCUGCAUGACCCGGGCCCCUUUUGAAAUCACUUGUUCAACGGCUCUGUUCAUAGCCACCGAGGAUCCACACAGCAGCCAUGAAGCGAUCCGUCAAUGGUCCCUGCAUCGUUGAGGACUAUUAUAGUGUUUCUUUAUGAUCAAUAUCUUCACAAAUCAAAACACGAUGUGUUCGUGUUAGACUUUAAACAACCUCCCGCCGGCAAUCCAAUAAUGUUUGUGGUUCUUAAGUGUGCCUGUUAAACAUGCUUGACAAGCUUAGAGCGAACCUUCCUGAAGGCCAAUCAGCUGCAGGCCAAUAGCUCACACCCUGUACCUCUGGGUCGCCCACUCUCCCCCUGGGGGUGGAUCAACGCCCGUACCGCCUCCCCACCGCAAAGAAAUGUCGUUGCCCCUAACUAUAAGCAGACUGAUAUGAGGUGGGGUGGAGGUGUCUGGUGUCCGGGGGCUCUCAGAGCUGUGCAGCUCGGUCCAGACACAGGAAGAGGCUGUGGAGUCGGUCACCUCGUGGGGGACACCCCCCCUCCAGGCCCCCCCUCCAGGCACCCCCUCCCCCAGGCAGGCGGAGGUCGGGGGGCUUUAAGGGAGUCUUGAGGUAAAGCAGUAGAUGAGGGGGGCUGGGGGGAGCAGGCUUGGGGCUCUCUCCUUCCUCCCACUGGGUUUCUUGUGCUGGUUGCGUAACGUUCAGUGGGAGCAGAGAGGCGGAGCCAGCCCGCCGUCCCCGCUGCCAGGCGCCGGUUGCCAAGGAGACACAGCCUGUAAGGAGGGAGGCGUGUGCGUCUGUGCAGCCGUGUGCACUGAGUGAGUGUGUAGGGGGAAGACUUUUGUGUUUGUUUCUGACAACUUUAGCUUUGUGUGUGUGGAGAGAGAGAGAGAGAGAGAGAGAGAGAGAGAGAGAGAGAGAGAGAGAGAGAGAGAGAGAGAGAGAGAGAGAGAGAGAGAGAGAGAGAGAGAGAGAGAGAGAGAGAGAGAGAGAGAGAGAGAGAGAGAGAGAGAGAGAGAGAGAGAGAGAGAGAGAGAGUGGAGAGGAGGGGGGGGGGGGGGGGGGAGAGAUUCCACUGGAGGCUGUGAACACAGUGCGUUUUGUCUCAGUUGUGUGAACAUUGUGUGCGAGGGGUUUCACAGAGAACAAGAACAUUUGGUUCAUGGUUUCUCAUGAGUCCGGAUGGUGUUGUUGCUCAUUGUCGUUCUCACCACUGGUCUGUUGUCCUGUCAUAUCUUAAAGGACCUGAAUGUGUAAAAUCACACAAGGACAGUGUGGAGUAGCGUCAGGUAUAGAUCUUCUAGUUGCUUCAGUGCCACUUGCUGCUCUCCCUCAGCUAUAGACAGUGAGGUCCCGUGAUGUAACCGUGAUGUAAGCCGUGACGUGUGUGUUCUCAGGAGAGGCUGAAGGUGGGCGGGGCUCAGCUGACGGAGCUCAAAGCCACUCUGGAGUGUUGCUUCGCUGCGUCAAUCAAAGCCUCACCAACACUUCAUGGCCCUGAUUGGACCACAACCAGGAAGUCUAAGCCACAUGGAACAGGAAGUCUAAGCCACAUCGACCAGUCGGCAGCCUUGAAACAAAAACAUCCAUUUACUUGAAAUAUUUUACAUGAUUAUUUUUUUGCCUAAAAAUAUUGUUAUUUUAAAAGAUUUCUUAAGCCAUCAGGUUUUGUUCUAUGGUCGUUUCUGUGACUGACUUUGGGUUUGUUGGUCCCCAUUAUGGACAGGUUAUCCAUGAUGGGUGGACAAAGUGCUCACUUUCAAAGAAACAAACUAAUUUUUUUGCCAGAAAAGUUAAUGAGGCCAUGUUCAUUACGAUGACAAUGAGGGAUUCUCCUUGGACGGCUAUCGGCUGUAGUUCAGCGCUGACUCAGACAGUCGGAGGAUAGGACCCGGCAGACUGGCCCGUCACCCGCUCCAACGGGACACCGCCGCCAGCCAAUGGGAGGAGGGUUUCCACCCGUGGAGCAUGUCGUUCCCGGUGAUCACGAGGCAAUUAGACCCCGGCAGGCACAUCUAGAGCCGGUCCGUCUGUACGGCCGCUGACGUCAGACGGACAGCAGCUCAUUCAAUAUUCAAGGGCCUAUUCUGUAGCUGCUCGUUAGAAUCACUGCGACAGGGCAGAGGUGAGUUACAGGGUGAUUAUGGCCCAAUACAAAAGGGUUAGCUGUUGUUUUGCCAAAUAUUCCUAAUUAAAGUUUUAUUCAAUUUUUAUAUACCAAGAUUUUUAAUUAAACAUACAAUUCAUUCAUUCUAAGUGCACCAGAUUAUUGUAAUUAAUGUUUUAUUCUGUUGGUUCCUCACCACCUUUUCCCCAAACCCGUCAAAAUCAGUGCAAUGUUCCCCUCUUAAGUAGAAUGUGACUCACAUAGAACUCACCACCUUAGCAUUAAAUACUAAAGAGUUAGGGCAUUAUGGGCAGUUGCAGACUCUAUCCUGGUUUAGCCUGUGUCUUCGUGGCUCUGCUGAGAUUCACAGGUCGGAUAAGCAAGCACAUGGGAGGCUAAUUUGUGAAUGGCCUAAAGUCAACUAAUAGGUCUUUAACCCCGACUGACCAGCCCAGAUAAGCAGCGUGAAGUCGGGCACAUGCUGCCACCUGACCGGCCCGAGUUGAUCAGGACUUCCGCCUCUCCGAUCCUGCUGCUGUCGCUACUGCUCCACGUCUGAACGUAAGCUGUUCCGGAUAAAGGCAGGAGGAAUCUAAAGGUAGUGCCGUGGUUCCCUGGGAGCAGGCAGUGGUAACAAGGAGGCAGUGAUUAGUCAUCAGAGAACCAAAGGCGACUUAAGCCUCUCCAACAUAUCCCUCUUGGAGUAUGGAUUAAGAUAUAAGCGCUUACCGUUUCACACUGUCUGAAAGGGCUUCCCCGGCCACAGUAUGAAACCACAAAGCCAGAGCCUUCUAAAAGGUCAAUACAAAGUAAAUGAACCAAAGGAACCAGAGAAGGAACACAGAUUGCACAUCGUAUGCAGUGAGGAAAGGGGCUUGAAACAUGAUUCUGGUUGACAUGGUUUAUUAGUUUAGAAAUGUUACAAAUGUGGUACGUAUUCUCAAUCUAUGUUUGCUGCCAAAAGGUAAUCUAUGCCAAUGCCUGACUUUUAAAAACACUCAAAAGAAAAAAAGAUCUUCAGUAAACUGCAAUAAGUGAAUAAGUCAGAUCAUAGUAAAACAUUCUAUAAGCAGGAGCACAUAAGCAUGGUUGUGUGUGGCAUUAAAACAAAGUUACUAGAACUGGCACUGAUGUAUUUUAAUGACCAAGUCAUGUGCAUCCACUUAUUGUUUAAUCCGCAGUGUAUAAAAAAAAUAUAUAAAAAUGCCUUCGUUUAAGAUUUGUAAAGCAAUCCAGCUCCAAGUUUAAAUGACACAAAGCCAUGACAGGUACUUCUUCACUUAUACAUUUGAGUAAGGCUUAAACCACAGAUCUUUUAAACUAAGUGAGCUAAAAAAAAAUGACGAGGUUGACUAAAGAAAAUCGAGUUGAGAAACUCAAAGUUACUGUUACCAGUUAUGACUUAAAGAUACAAG
This is a long non-coding RNA of Gadus macrocephalus (Pacific cod), 4783 nucleotides long. RefSeq lists it as uncharacterized. NCBI's taxonomy places the organism in Eukaryota, Metazoa, Chordata, Actinopteri, Gadiformes, Gadidae. The record is from RefSeq and is a predicted model, not a curated record. The transcript has 2 exons.